This 535-nucleotide ribosomal RNA is filed under the name uncultured eukaryote. Its description in RNAcentral is "partial 18S ribosomal RNA". It matches the Rfam family "Eukaryotic small subunit ribosomal RNA", at positions 450 to 874 of the family's 1831-position model. The record is from RNAcentral.
GGAAACAAUUUUCCGAAAUAGUGACAAAAAAUAUCAAUGCUAGGUACUAUGUAUUUAGUAAUUGGAAUGAGUACAAUUUAAAUCCCUUAACAAGUAACAAUUAGAGGGCAAGUCUGGUGCCAGCAGCCGCGGUAAUUCCAGCUCUAAUAGCGUAUAUUAAUAUUGUUGCAGUUAAAAAGCUCGUAGUUGAAAUUUGGAACUUUAUUGUAUUGGUUUGUCUUUUGAUGAACUGUAUGAUGGGUUUCUUCCUACUAGAGUUCGAUUCUGUUCUUAACUGAAUGGAGUAGCUAUCUUUCGGGGUGGUCAAUUGGUUGUUAUAUCUCCACUAAUAAGCAGAGAGGGGUUAAACCUUUGAAGUAAGUUAUGUGGGUCAAGGUAUGGUGAUUAAUUGGAGUUCUAGUUCAUUUACUUUGAGAAAAUUAGAGUGUUUAAAGCAGCCUCUUGGGGCACUGAAUACAUUAGCAUGGGAUAAUAAAAUAGGAUCUUCACAAUAUAUUUUAUUGGUUUAAAUUGGAUAUGAAGAUAAUGAUUAAUA